This 400-nucleotide ribosomal RNA is filed under the name uncultured bacterium. RNAcentral describes it as "bacterial SSU rRNA". It matches the Rfam family "Bacterial small subunit ribosomal RNA", at positions 30 to 429 of the family's 1533-position model. The record is from RNAcentral.
AUUGAACGCUGGCGGCAUGCCUUACACAUGCAAGUCGAACGGCAGCACGGGAGCUUGCUCCUGGUGGCGAGUGGCGAACGGGUGAGUAAUACAUCGGAACGUACCCUGAAGUGGGGGAUAACGUAGCGAAAGUUACGCUAAUACCGCAUAUUCUGUGAGCAGGAAAGAGGGGGAUCGCAAGACCUCUUGCUUUAGGAGCGGCCGAUGUCGGAUUAGCUAGUUGGUGAGGUAAAGGCUCACCAAGGCGACGAUCCGUAGCGGGUCUGAGAGGAUGAUCCGCCACACUGGGACUGAGACACGGCCCAGACUCCUACGGGAGGCAGCAGUGGGGAAUUUUGGACAAUGGGCGCAAGCCUGAUCCAGCCAUGCCGCGUGAGUGAAGAAGGCCUCGGGUUGUAAA